Molecule: non-coding RNA, 126 nt
Organism: Candidatus Kaiserbacteria bacterium
Lineage: Bacteria; Candidatus Kaiseribacteriota
Source: Rfam
GGUCUAAAUCGUUCAGUAGUACUGGACGACAUGAUCGUGGAAAGACCCAAUGGCGAUUUCUGAACCCUGCGUUCAGCGACUCGUCAUUGGGCCAUGUCUGGAAACGGGCAUGGGGCCGCAAGGCCU